CGGCAUUCCAGAUGUUGUGGAUUACAUCUCCCCUGAUGCCUUGCCAGCACUAUGGGAGAUGAAGUUAUAAACAUCUGGAAUGCCG
Molecule: non-coding RNA, 85 nt
Organism: Pelobates cultripes (western spadefoot toad)
Lineage: Eukaryota; Metazoa; Chordata; Amphibia; Anura; Pelobatidae
Source: the annotation of a GenBank genome assembly